This 601-nucleotide ribosomal RNA is filed under the name uncultured bacterium. RNAcentral describes it as "bacterial SSU rRNA". It matches the Rfam family "Bacterial small subunit ribosomal RNA", at positions 338 to 950 of the family's 1533-position model. The record is from RNAcentral.
CCUACGGGAGGCAGCAGUGGGGAAUAUUGCACAAUGGGCGCAAGCCUGAUGCAGCGACGCCGCGUGAGGGAUGACGGCCUUCGGGUUGUAAACCUCUUUCACCAGGGACGAAGCGUGAGUGACGGUACCUGGAGAAGAAGCACCGGCCAACUACGUGCCAGCAGCCGCGGUAAUACGUAGGGUGCGAGCGUUGUCCGGAAUUACUGGGCGUAAAGAGUUCGUAGGCGGUUUGUCGCGUCGUUCGUGAAAACUUGGGGCUUAACUCCAAGCGUGCGGGCGAUACGGGCAGACUUGAGUACUACAGGGGAGACUGGAAUUCCUGGUGUAGCGGUGAAAUGCGCAGAUAUCAGGAGGAACACCGGUGGCGAAGGCGGGUCUCUGGGUAGUAACUGACGCUGAGGAACGAAAGCGUGGGUAGCGAACAGGAUUAGAUACCCUGGUAGUCCACGCUGUAAACGGUGGGUACUAGGUGUGGGUUCCUUUCACGGGAUCCGUGCCGUAGCUAACGCAUUAAGUACCCCGCCUGGGGAGUACGGCCGCAAGGCUAAAACGUUACAAGAUAGUACGGACGUGUAGACUGCGACGACGCACGAGGAGGUAG